AUUGAACGCUGGCGGCAAGCCUUACACAUGCAAGUCGAACGGCAGCGCGGGAGCAAUCCUGGCGGCGAGUGGCGAACGGGUGAGUAAUAUAUCGGAACGUGCCCUAGAGUGGGGGAUAACUAGUCGAAAGAUUAGCUAAUACCGCAUACGAUCUACGGAUGAAAGUGGGGGAUCGCAAGACCUCAUGCUCGUGGAGCGGCCGAUAUCUGAUUAGCUAGUUGGUAGGGUAAAAGCCUACCAAGGCCACGAUCAGUAGCUGGUCUGAGAGGACGACCAGCCACACUAGGACUGAGACACGGCCCAGACUCCUACGGGAGGCAGCAGUGGGGAAUUUUGGACAAUGGGGGAAACCCUGAUCCAGCAAUGCCGCGUGUGUGAAGAAGGCCUUCGGGUUGUAAAGCACUUUUGUCCGGAACGAAACGGGCCGAGCUAAUAUCCUGGCCUAAUGACGGUACCGGAAGAAUAAGCACCGGCUAACUACGUGCCAGCCGCCGCAGUAA
This 500-nucleotide ribosomal RNA is filed under the name uncultured bacterium. Its description in RNAcentral is "partial 16S ribosomal RNA". It matches the Rfam family "Bacterial small subunit ribosomal RNA", at positions 30 to 523 of the family's 1533-position model. The record is from RNAcentral.